RNAcentral lists this ribosomal RNA (452 nucleotides) under Ellurema indica. RNAcentral's name for it is "LSU rRNA". It matches the Rfam family "Eukaryotic large subunit ribosomal RNA", at positions 72 to 534 of the family's 3401-position model. The record is from RNAcentral. Lineage: Eukaryota; Fungi; Ascomycota; Sordariomycetes; Amphisphaeriales; Sporocadaceae.
GGAUUGCCCUAGUAACGGCGAGUGAAGCGGCAACAGCUCAAAUUUGAAAUCUGGCCCUUGGGUCCGAGUUGUAAUUUGUAGAGGAUGAUUUUGGUGCGGUACCUUCCGAGUUCCUUGGAACAGGACGCCUUAGAGGGUGAGAGCCCCGUACGGUUGGAUGCCUAGCCUUUGUAAAUCUCCUUCGACGAGUCGAGUAGUUUGGGAAUGCUGCUCUAAAUGGGAGGUAAAUUUCUUCUAAAGCUAAAUAUUGGCCAGAGACCGAUAGCGCACAAGUAGAGUGAUCGAAAGAUGAAAAGCACUUUGAAAAGAGGGUUAAAUAGCACGUGAAAUUGUUGAAAGGGAAGGAUUUAUGACCAGACUUUUUCUAGGCGGAUCAUCCGGUGUUCUCACCGGUGCACUUCGUCUAGUUUAGGCCAGCAUCGGUUUUCGGAGAGGGAUAAAAGCUUUAGGAA